CCUACGGGAGGCAGCAGUGAGGAAUUUUCCGCAAUGGGCGAAAGCCUGACGGAGCAAUGCCGCGUGGAGGAGGAGGGCCUGUGGGUCGUAAACUCCUUUUCUCAGAGAAGAAGUUCUGACGGUAUCUGAGGAAUAAGCAUCGGCUAACUCUGUGCCAGCAGCCGCGGUAAUACAGGGGAUGCAAGCGUUAUCCGGAAUUAUUGGGCGUAAAGCGUCCUGAGGUGGCUUACCCAGUCGACUGUGAAAGCUCAAGGCUUAACCUUGAAACGGCAGUCGAAACUUGUAAGCUUGAGUACGGUAGGGGCAGAGGGAAUUCCCGGAGGAGAGGUGAAAUUCGUAGAUAUCGGGAGGAAGGCCAAAGGCGAAAGCACUCUGCUGGGCCGAUUACUGACACUGACAGACGAAAGCUAGGGGAGCGAAAGGGAUUAGAUACCCCGUGUAGUCCUAGCCGUAAACGAUGAUACUAGUGUGCGCGACUACAAACGUGCAGUGCUGCAGCUACGUACGGUAAGUACGUCCGCCGUCGGGUAGUAGUGCCGCGAGGUAGUAACGUUAAAGUAGUAAGUUAGACGGCGUGAGACGUCGCCGACGGACGACGACGAGGGAGGUAGG
This 612-nucleotide ribosomal RNA is filed under the name uncultured bacterium. Its description in RNAcentral is "bacterial SSU rRNA". The stretch from base 1 to 522 matches the Rfam family "Bacterial small subunit ribosomal RNA", at positions 338 to 873 of the family's 1533-position model. The record is from RNAcentral.